GCCCCUUCGGGGACAUCCGAUAAAAUUGGAACGAUACAGAGAAGGAUGACACGCAUAAAUCGAGAAAUGGUCCAAAUUUUU
Molecule: small nuclear RNA, 81 nt
Filed under: Erythranthe guttata (spotted monkey flower)
Lineage: Eukaryota; Viridiplantae; Streptophyta; Magnoliopsida; Lamiales; Phrymaceae
Source: RNAcentral